UACGUAGGGUGCGAGCGUUAAUCGGAAUUACUGGGCGUAAAGCGUGCGCAGGCGGUCUGUUAAGACCGAUGUGAAAUCCCCGGGCUUAACCUGGGAACUGCAUUGGUGACUGGCAGGCUUUGAGUGUGGCAGAGGGGGGUAGAAUUCCACGUGUAGCAGUGAAAUGCGUAGAGAUGUGGAGGAAUACCGAUGGCGAAGGCAGCCCCCCUGGGCCAACACUGACGCUCAUGCACGAAAGCGUGGGGAGCAAACAGG
RNAcentral lists this ribosomal RNA (255 nucleotides) under uncultured bacterium. RNAcentral's name for it is "partial 16S ribosomal RNA". It matches the Rfam family "Bacterial small subunit ribosomal RNA", at positions 524 to 776 of the family's 1533-position model. The record is from RNAcentral.